This 292-nucleotide long non-coding RNA is filed under the name Gallus gallus (chicken). The record is from RNAcentral. Lineage: Eukaryota; Metazoa; Chordata; Aves; Galliformes; Phasianidae.
CGUGGCCGGGCUCUCUCGCAGUGCUUGCCCAGGAAGCCUGAGGGACACUCGCAGGUGUAGGAGUCGUCCUGAGUCUCGCAGGAGCCCCCGUUCAGGCAGGGCUCAGAGUCACAGGGGGACGGCACCGUGUGGUUGGUGCCGUAGUCGGUGUGGCACACGCACAGGUAGCUCCCGCCGUACUCCAUGCAGUAGCCGCCAUCUGGACACUGCGUGUUCACAUUGCACGGUGUGGUGGUCACUUCGAAUUCACAGAGCAGGCCAAAAUACCCUGGCAGGCACUGGCAGAUGGUGA